GAGCUUUGUAAGGAAAGUCCAUUACCACAGGUAGGAUUUGAGGGUUUGUAGCCUGGCCCCACUUCCUAUGCUCUCUGCUCCAUGUGCGUGGAUGAACUGUGAUCUCACUGCUUUCUAACUGCUAGGUCAGCCUAUGCUUCUGCCACCGUGCCUUCCUUCUGCAAUGGACCCUGUCCUUCUGGAACACCCAGCCAACAUAAACGGUCCCUUCCUCAGCAGCUUUUGCUGGAAUGUUUUACCACAGCAACAGAAGAGUAAUGAACACACAGCCUUACUCCAAGCUGUCCCAGUAUGCCCCAGCCAACCAGAGAAAGAUCUGUUCCCUCAGUUGUUCACAUCAUGGUCUAAAGACGCCCAGCAACCAGAGGCCGCUGACCCUGCUGUGAACGCCUGGAGGAAGCAACUUGAAGAGAAAUCAUUUGGAGAAUUGUGAUGACUCAUUGGAAAGAAGACUCAAUCCCAAGUCUUGCCUCUUCUUCCAAAUGAUAGUGUGACCUUGAGACUCAAGAAGUUUAUCUGAAGAGAUGGAGUGCUGAACUAGAACAGGAAUCUGAAGCAUCUUUACACACGACAUUGAAAAAAUAUCCAAAGGGCUUAUCAAAAAAAAAAAAAAAAAGAGCCUUGCACUAAAUUGCCAGUGUAUGGCAUCGGCAGGAAGAUAGGAAUGUUAAUCAUUUACCAUUUCUAGACUCCUGUGUUAGAACAUCUCUUGACCCAAUGAGUGGAUUAUCAUCCUGCCAUCCAUCACAACCUUGGCCCCAGCAAAAUAAUCUGUAGUCACACUUACUCCUCACUAAGUCAGAACUCCAUUUUCUUUAACUAUGGAAAUGGGAUCUGCCAUCACUACUUCUACUUCUGUGGUUUUCUUUUCAAACACAUGGCUGUUUAUCUCUGUUUAUCUUUCUAAUUGGGUUUCACAUGAGCCAUAGCAUGUAGGGGUAUAAAUCAUUGGUUGUAAAAACUACCUUCAAUUAUUUGGAUACUCAGUAUUUAAUGACUACAUCAGAAUUGAACUGUCCACAACAUUUUAAACUGGGACAUGACUCACUUCCUUAUUUAAUUAUUAAUUAAUCCCUUGAGAAUUUCAUACAUGCAUACAAUGUACUUUGAGCAUAUUCACUGCUGUUCCAUCCCUUAACUCCUCUCAGAUCAACAAAUCCCCUCCCAACUUUAUGUCUUUUUUUUUUUUGUAACCAACCAAGUCCAGUUUGUACUGCCCAUGCACAUAUGGAUGAACGGUCAUCCGUUGGAACACAGCUGACCAAUUAGGGGCCAUACCUUUAAAUAAUACUCUCUUUUCCCCAGCAGUCAUCAACUGUCAGAGGUACCUCAACUAGGAGUGAGGACACUGGAUCCCCUCCCCUCUCCAUGCUGGAAUAUUGACUGGCUUGUCUCAUGCAGUUCUUACACAGACAACCACAGCUGCUCACAUUCAUGUAUGCAGUAGUCCUAUCCUGUCCAGCAGACACACAGUCUGGUGUCCCUCAACCUCUGCCUCUGACAAUCUUUCUACUCCCUUGGACUCACUUUCAAGCCAUGUAUGUUGAUUGUCUUGCUGGACUCCAGUACAUACUUAUAACACUUCUGACCCCAGUACAUACUUAUAACAUCUCUAACCCCAGUACAUACCUAUAACAUCUCUGACCCCAGUACAUGCUUAUAACAUCUCUGACCCCCCAAAACUCAUCCUUCAGUCAGUAGCUAUUGGUGUCCAGGAUCCAUCACAAAAAAAAUGUCCAACAAGCAGCUACAAACUCAGUAUCUCAACAUUUACAGUUGCAAGGACUCUGCUUUUCUAAUUGGUUUCCAUAAGUACAGUGCUGUGCACCCUAGCCCUGACCUUAACAAGUGACAUUUCUACCUGCUGGCCUUGUGACUCCAUUAAUACCAUCUGCCCAUGAUACUGUUCAGAGGCUCAAAUAAAAUAUAAC
Long non-coding RNA from Mus spicilegus (steppe mouse), 1931 nucleotides. Lineage: Eukaryota; Metazoa; Chordata; Mammalia; Rodentia; Muridae. The record is from Ensembl.